Small nuclear RNA from Microtus oregoni (creeping vole), 102 nucleotides. The record is from RefSeq and is a predicted model, not a curated record. Lineage: Eukaryota; Metazoa; Chordata; Mammalia; Rodentia; Cricetidae.
AUGCCCGAAUGCCAGCACGUUCGCUAAAAUUGGAACAGUGCAGAGAAGAUGAGCAUGGCCCCUGCUCAAGCCAUGCAAGUUAAUGAAGCAUUCCGUAUUUUU